ACGAACGCUGGCGGCGUGCUUAACACAUGCCAGUCGAACGGAAAGGCCCUGCUUUUGUGGGGUGCUCGCGUGGCGAACGGGUGAGUAACACGUGAGUAACCUGCCCUUGACUUUGGGAUAACUUCAGGAAACUGGGGCUAAUACCGGAUAGGAGCUCCUGCUGCAUGGUGGGGGUUGGAAAGUUUCGGCGGUUGGGGAUGGACUCGCGGCUUAUCAGCUUGUUGGUGGGGUAGUGGCUUACCAAGGCUUUGACGGGUAGCCGGCCUGAGAGGGUGACCGGCCACAUUGGGACUGAGAUACGGCCCAGACUCCUACGGGAGGCAGCAGUGGGGAAUAUUGCACAAUGGGCGGAAGCCUGAUGCAGCAACGCCGCGUGCGGGAUGACGGCCUUCGGGUUGUAAACCGCUUUCGCCUGUGACGAAGCGUGAGUGACGGUAAUGGGUAAAGAAGCACCGGCUAACUACGU
Molecule: ribosomal RNA, 466 nt
Filed under: uncultured bacterium
Lineage: Bacteria
Description: partial 16S ribosomal RNA
Rfam family: Bacterial small subunit ribosomal RNA
Source: RNAcentral